AUGGUGCGACUCUUCUUCACCAACACAUCGGCGGCGCGGUCACUUCUACUCCCUCUCGCUUCUUCUCAACAUGGCGGCCUCAACCUCCUCACCCUUACCUUCUCCACUUCAUGUCGCUUAACCUCCUUCAAAGUUACGCUUCGUUCAUGUUACAUCUCCUUCGCAUAUCACGCCUCUGACUCACUUCGAUUCUAUGAUACAACAAAUAGUAGAAAGGGCGAAAGAAAAAAAAAACAGAGGAAUGUCGAAGCUUACUGGCCAAAGAUACUCUGGUGGCUCUUUAACGAUGACGUUGAGUGA
Molecule: non-coding RNA, 300 nt
Organism: Vicia faba (fava bean)
Lineage: Eukaryota; Viridiplantae; Streptophyta; Magnoliopsida; Fabales; Fabaceae
Source: the annotation of a GenBank genome assembly